RNAcentral lists this long non-coding RNA (458 nucleotides) under Salmo salar (Atlantic salmon). RNAcentral describes it as "lncRNA (ENSSSAG00000120233.1, ENSSSAG00000121193.1)". Lineage: Eukaryota; Metazoa; Chordata; Actinopteri; Salmoniformes; Salmonidae. The record is from RNAcentral.
CAAUAAACCUACUGAAGCCGUUCACGUCUGAGCCGAUCGUUGACCCAGAUCAGAGUUCGUUCUCGUAUUACAUCCAGUCAGAGGUUCCUGUCAGUCUGUCUGGAUGGUGACUGUAUUACAUCCAGGUCAGAGGUUCCUGUCAGUCUGUCUGGAUGGUGAUGUAUUACAUCCAGUCAGAGGUUCCUGUCAGUCUGUCUGGAUGGUGAUGUAUUACAUCCAGUCAGAGGUUCCUGUCAGUCUGUCUGGAUGGUGACUGUAUUACAUCCAGGUCAGAGGUUCUUGUCAGUCUGUCUGGAUGGUUACUGUAUUACAUCCAGAGGUUCCUGUCAGUCUGUCUGGAUGGUGACUGUAUUACAUCCAGGUCAGAGGUUCCUGUCAGUCUGUCUGGAUGGUGACUGUAUUACAUCCAGUCAGAGGUUCCUGUCAGUCUGUCUGGAUGGUGACUGUAUUACAUCCAG